UCAGGUGGCCGCAGAGAAUAGGCCCAAGCGACUGUUUACCAAAAACAUAGGUUUCUGCUAAGUCGCAAGACGAUGUAUAGGAGCUGACGCCUGCCCGGUGCUGGAAGGGUAAGGGGAUCUGUUAGAGUAAUCGAAGCAGUGAACUUAAGCCCCAGUAAACGGCGGCCGUAACUAUAACGGUCCUACGGUAGCGAAAUUCCUUGUCGGGUAAGUUCCGACCCGCACGACAGGCGUAACGAUUUGGGCACUGUCUCAACAACAGACUCGGUGAAAUUGUAAUUCCGGUGAAGAUGCCGGAUACC
This 302-nucleotide ribosomal RNA is filed under the name Clostridioides difficile. Its description in RNAcentral is "partial 23S ribosomal RNA". It matches the Rfam family "Bacterial large subunit ribosomal RNA", at positions 1769 to 2070 of the family's 2925-position model. Lineage: Bacteria; Bacillati; Bacillota; Clostridia; Peptostreptococcales; Peptostreptococcaceae. The record is from RNAcentral.